RNAcentral lists this ribosomal RNA (1246 nucleotides) under 'Vaccinium corymbosum' phytoplasma. Its description in RNAcentral is "bacterial SSU rRNA". It matches the Rfam family "Bacterial small subunit ribosomal RNA", at positions 152 to 1398 of the family's 1533-position model. The record is from RNAcentral. Lineage: Bacteria; Bacillati; Mycoplasmatota; Mollicutes; Acholeplasmatales; Acholeplasmataceae.
GAAAACGACUGCUAAGACUGGAUAGGAGAUAAGAAGGCAUCUUCUUCUUUUUAAAAGACCUAGCAAUAGGUAUGCUUAGGGAGGAGCUUGCGUCACAUUAGUUAGUUGGUGGGGUAAAGGCCUACCAAGACUAUGAUGUGUAGCCGGGCUGAGAGGUUGAACGGCCACAUUGGGACUGAGACACGGCCCAAACUCCUACGGGAGGCAGCAGUAGGGAAUUUUCGGCAAUGGAGGAAACUCUGACCGAGCAACGCCGCGUGAACGAUGAAGUAUUUCGGUACGUAAAGUUCUUUUAUUAGGGAAGAAUAAAUGAUGGAAAAAUCAUUCUGACGGUACCUAAUGAAUAAGCCCCGGCUAACUAUGUGCCAGCAGCCGCGGUAAUACAUAGGGGGCAAGCGUUAUCCGGAAUUAUUGGGCGUAAAGGGUGCGUAGGCGGUUAAAUAAGUUUAUGGUCUAAGUGCAAUGCUCAACAUUGUGAUGCUAUAAAAACUGUUUAGCUAGAGUAAGAUAGAGGCAAGUGGAAUUCCAUGUGUAGUGGUAAAAUGCGUAAAUAUAUGGAGGAACACCAGUAGCGAAGGCGGCUUGCUGGGUCUUUACUGACGCUGAGGCACGAAAGCGUGGGGAGCAAACAGGAUUAGAUACCCUGGUAGUCCACGCCGUAAACGAUGAGUACUAAACGUUGGGUAAAACCAGUGUUGAAGUUAACACAUUAAGUACUCCGCCUGAGUAGUACGUACGCAAGUAUGAAACUUAAAGGAAUUGACGGGACUCCGCACAAGCGGUGGAUCAUGUUGUUUAAUUCGAAGGUACCCGAAAAACCUCACCAGGUCUUGACAUGCUUCUGCAAAACUGUAGAAACACAGUGGAGGUUAUCAGUUGCACAGGUGGUGCAUGGUUGUCGUCAGCUCGUGUCGUGAGAUGUUGGGUUAAGUCCCGCAACGAGCGCAACCCUUAUUGUUAGUUACCAGCACGUAAUGGUGGGGACUUUAGCAAGACUGCCGGUGAUAAAUUGGAGGAAGGUGGGGACGACGUCAAAUCAUCAUGCCCCUUAUGACCUGGGCUACAAACGUGAUACAAUGGCUGUUACAAAGGGUAGCUGAAACGCAAGUUUUUGGCGAAUCUCUAAAAAACAGUCUCAGUUCGGAUUGAAGUCUGCAACUCGACUUCAUGAAGUUGGAAUCGCUAGUAAUCGCGAAUCAGCAUGUCGCGGUGAAUACGUUCUCGGGGUUUGUACACACCGCCCGUC